Molecule: ribosomal RNA, 468 nt
Filed under: uncultured bacterium
Lineage: Bacteria
Description: partial 16S ribosomal RNA
Rfam family: Bacterial small subunit ribosomal RNA
Source: RNAcentral
GACGAACGCUGGCGGCGUGCUUAACACAUGCAAGUCGAACGGAAAGGCCCUGCUUUUGUGGGGUGCUCGAGUGGCGAACGGGUGAGUAACACGUGAGUAACCUGCCCUUGACUUUGGGAUAACUUCAGGAAACUGGGGCUAAUACCGGAUAGGAGCUCCUGCUGCAUGGUGGGGGUUGGAAAGUUUCGGCGGUUGGGGAUGGACUCGCGGCUUAUCAGCUUGUUGGUGGGGUAGUGGCUUACCAAGGCUUUGACGGGUAGCCGGCCUGAGAGGGUGACCGGCCACAUUGGGACUGAGAUACGGCCCAGAGUCGUACGGGAGGCAGCAGUGGGGAAUAUUGCACAAUGGGCGGAAGCCUGAUGCAGCAACGCCGCGUGCGGGAUGACGGCCUUCGGGUUGUAAACCGCUUUCGCCUGUGACGAAGCGUGAGUGACGGUAAUGGGUAAAGAAGCACCGGCUAACUACGUG